CGGACGGGUGAGUAACGCGUGGGUAACCUGCCUCAUACAGGGGGAUAACAGUUAGAAAUGACUGCUAAUACCGCAUAAGCGCACGGGACUGCAUGGUCUUGUGUGAAAAACUCCGGUGGUAUGAGAUGGACCCGCGUCUGAUUAGCUUGUUGGUGAGGUAACGGCCCACCAAGGCGACGAUCAGUAGCCGGCCUGAGAGGGUGAACGGCCACAUUGGGACUGAGACACGGCCCAAACUCCUACGGGAGGCAGCAG
RNAcentral lists this ribosomal RNA (255 nucleotides) under uncultured bacterium. RNAcentral describes it as "partial 16S ribosomal RNA". It matches the Rfam family "Bacterial small subunit ribosomal RNA", at positions 99 to 354 of the family's 1533-position model. The record is from RNAcentral.